GGUGGGUGCGACAGCAGGACCAUGGCUGAAAAAUGAGAAUGUCCGCUGAUUUUGGGACGUUUGGGAGAAUGAAAUUAGCACUACAACUGGCAUAACAGAGAAGCUGCUAUCCAAGAGAGAAGAGGAACAUCAGACAGAAAGAAAGGAAAGGCAUCUUCCGGAUCAUGUGAUCUCCUACAUGAAUAGUGAUUACCGACUGAAGACGCCGUCUGCAGAGGAAGGACAUUUCUUCAGAUGUUCCCCGUUAUGAGAAGCCACCA
Molecule: long non-coding RNA, 260 nt
Organism: Pseudophryne corroboree (corroboree frog)
Lineage: Eukaryota; Metazoa; Chordata; Amphibia; Anura; Myobatrachidae
Exons: 3
Source: RefSeq, a predicted model, not a curated record